GACGAACGCUGGCGGCGUGCCUAAUACAUGCAAGUCGAACGCUUUUUCUUUCACCGGAGCUUGCUCCACCGAAAGAAAAAGAGUGGCGAACGGGUGAGUAACACGUGGGUAACCUGCCCAUCAGAAGGGGAUAACACUUGGAAACAGGUGCUAAUACCGUAUAACACUAUUUUCCGCAUGGAAGAAAGUUGAAAGGCGCUUUUGCGUCACUGAUGGAUGGACCCGCGGUGCAUUAGCUAGUUGGUGAGGUAACGGCUCACCAAGGCAACGAUGCAUAGCCGACCUGAGAGGGUGAUCGGCGACACUGGGACUGAUAAACGGCCCAGACUCCUACGGAAGGUAGCAGUAGGGAAUCUUCGGCAAUGGACGAAAGUCUGACCGAGCAACGCCGCGGGAGUGAAGAAGGUUUUCGGAUCGUAAAACUCUGUUGUUAGAGAAGAACAAGGAUGAGAGUAAAACGUUCAUCCCUUGACGGUAUCUAACCAGAAAGCCACGGCUAACUACGUGCCAGCAGCCGCGUAA
This 522-nucleotide ribosomal RNA is filed under the name uncultured bacterium. RNAcentral describes it as "partial 16S ribosomal RNA". It matches the Rfam family "Bacterial small subunit ribosomal RNA", at positions 28 to 522 of the family's 1533-position model. The record is from RNAcentral.